CUCAACACUGCACCUGUCUCUUGGCUGUGGGUUGACGCAGCCAGAGCCGAGCCGAGACUCACCCAGGCUUGGAAAAUGGGUGUUUUCCUGUGGAUGAGCCUGAGCCAAAAGCACAGGAACAGCC
This 124-nucleotide small nucleolar RNA is filed under the name Sorex araneus (European shrew). RNAcentral's name for it is "Small nucleolar RNA SNORA65 (ENSSARG00000019101.1)". Lineage: Eukaryota; Metazoa; Chordata; Mammalia; Eulipotyphla; Soricidae. The record is from RNAcentral.